This 1009-nucleotide ribosomal RNA is filed under the name Paraburkholderia sp. RNAcentral's name for it is "bacterial SSU rRNA". It matches the Rfam family "Bacterial small subunit ribosomal RNA", at positions 60 to 1061 of the family's 1533-position model. Lineage: Bacteria; Pseudomonadati; Pseudomonadota; Betaproteobacteria; Burkholderiales; Burkholderiaceae. The record is from RNAcentral.
AGUCGAACGGCAGCACGGGAGCAAUCCUGGUGGCGAGUGGCGAACGGGUGAGUAAUACAUCGGAACGUGUCCUGUAGUGGGGGAUAGCCCGGCGAAAGCCGGAUUAAUACCGCAUACGAUCUGCGGAUGAAAGCGGGGGCUCCUUCGGGACCUCGCGCUGCAGGGGCGGCCGAUGGCAGAUUAGCUAGUUGGUGGGGUAAAGGCCUACCAAGGCGACGAUCUGUAGCUGGUCUGAGAGGACGACCAGCCACACUGGGACUGAGACACGGCCCAGACUCCUACGGGAGGCAGCAGUGGGGAAUUUUGGACAAUGGGCGCAAGCCUGAUCCAGCAAUGCCGCGUGUGUGAAGAAGGCCUUCGGGUUGUAAAGCACUUUUGUCCGGAAAGAAAACGUCCUGGUUAAUACCCGGGGCGGAUGACGGUACCGGAAGAAUAAGCACCGGCUAACUACGUGCCAGCAGCCGCGGUAAUACGUAGGGUGCAAGCGUUAAUCGGAAUUACUGGGCGUAAAGCGUGCGCAGGCGGUUCGCUAAGACAGAUGUGAAAUCCCCGGGCUUAACCUGGGAACUGCAUUUGUGACUGGCGGGCUAGAGUAUGGCAGAGGGGGGUAGAAUUCCACGUGUAGCAGUGAAAUGCGUAGAGAUGUGGAGGAAUACCGAUGGCGAAGGCAGCCCCCUGGGCCAAUACUGACGCUCAUGCACGAAAGCGUGGGGAGCAAACAGGAUUAGAUACCCUGGUAGUCCACGCCCUAAACGAUGUCAACUAGUUGUCGGGUCUUCAUUGACUUGGUAACGUAGCUAACGCGUGAAGUUGACCGCCUGGGGAGUACGGUCGCAAGAUUAAAACUCAAAGGAAUUGACGGGGACCCGCACAAGCGGUGGAUGAUGUGGAUUAAUUCGAUGCAACGCGAAAAACCUUACCUACCCUUGACAUGUAUGGAAUCCUGCCGAGAGGUGGAUGUGCCCGAAAGGGAGCCAUAACACAGGUGCUGCAUGGCUGUCGUCAGCUC